GGCCUACCAUGGUGGUAACGGGUAACGGGGUGUUAGGGCACGACACCGGAGAGGGAGCCUGAGAAACGGCUACCACAUCCAAGGAUGGCAGCAGGCGCGCAAAUUACCCAAUCCCGACAUGGGGAGGUAGUGACAAUAAAUAACAAUACAGGGUUCUUUUGGAUCUUGUAAUUGGAAUGAGUACAAUUUAAAUCUCUUAACGAGGAACAAUUGGAGGGCAAGUCUGGUGCCAGCAGCCGCGGUAAUUCCAGCUCCAAUAGCGUAUAUUAAAGUUGCUGCAGUUAAAAAGCUCGUAGUUGAAUUUCGGGAUCAAUAUGUUGGUCGUGCCUUGGUACGUACUAGCUUAUUGAUUUCUCCUUUCUGACGAACCAUGAUGUCAUUAAUUUGGUGGCAUGGGGAAUCAGGACUGUUACUUUGAAAAAAUUAGAGUGUUUAAAGCAGGCUCGCGCUUGAAUACAUUAGCAUGGAAUAAUGAAAUAGGACAUUUGAUUCUAUUUUGUUGGUUUCUAGGAUCGAUGUAAUGAUUAAUAGGGAUAGUUGGGGGCAUUAGUAUUCAAUUGUCAGAGGUGAAAUUCUUGGAUUUAUUGAAGACUAACUACUGCGAAAGCAUUUGCCAAGGAUGUUUUCAUUAAUCAAGAACGAAAGUUAGGGGAUCGAAGACGAUCAGAUACCGUCGUAGUCUUAACCAUAAACUAUGCCGACUAGGGAUCGGAUGAUGUUAAUUUUUUAAUGACUCAUUCGGCGCCUUACG
This 751-nucleotide ribosomal RNA is filed under the name uncultured Glomeromycotina. RNAcentral describes it as "SSU rRNA". It matches the Rfam family "Eukaryotic small subunit ribosomal RNA", at positions 338 to 1092 of the family's 1831-position model. The record is from RNAcentral. Lineage: Eukaryota; Fungi; Glomeromycota.